RNAcentral lists this ribosomal RNA (440 nucleotides) under uncultured bacterium. Its description in RNAcentral is "partial 16S ribosomal RNA". It matches the Rfam family "Bacterial small subunit ribosomal RNA", at positions 338 to 795 of the family's 1533-position model. The record is from RNAcentral.
CCUACGGGGGGCAGCAGUGGGGAAUAUUGCACAAUGGGGGAAACCCUGAUGCAGCGACGCCGCGUGAGUGAAGAAGUAUUUCGGUAUGUAAAGCUCUAUCAGCAGGGAAGAAAAUGACGGUACCUGAUUAAGAAGCCCCGGCUAACUACGUGCCAGCAGCCGCGGUAAUACGUAGGGGGCAAGCGUUAUCCGGAUUUACUGGGUGUAAAGGGGGCGUAUACGGCAGCACAAGUCUGGAGUGAAAUGCCGGGGCUUAACCCCGGAACCGCUUUGGAAACUGUGCAGCUAGAGUGCAGGAGAGGUAGGUGGAAUUCCUAGUGUAGCGGUGAAAUGCGUAGAUAUUAGGAGGAACACCAGUGGCGAAGGCGGCUUACUGGACUGUAACUGACGUUGAGGCUCGAAAGCGUGGGGAGCAAACAGGAUUAGAUACCCCUGUAGUC